GAACUGGUGGUUCAGUGGUAGAAUUCUUGCCUCCCAUGCAGGAGACCCAGGUUUGAUUCUUAGCCAGUGCA
RNAcentral lists this transfer RNA (71 nucleotides) under Loxodonta africana (African savanna elephant). It matches the Rfam family "tRNA". From Rfam's summary of the family: Transfer RNA (tRNA) molecules are approximately 80 nucleotides in length. Their secondary structure includes four short double-helical elements and three loops (D, anti-codon, and T loops). The record is from Rfam by way of RNAcentral. Lineage: Eukaryota; Metazoa; Chordata; Mammalia; Proboscidea; Elephantidae.